This 90-nucleotide transfer RNA is filed under the name Candidatus Nomurabacteria bacterium. RNAcentral's name for it is "tRNA-Ser". It matches the Rfam family "tRNA". Rfam says of the family: Transfer RNA (tRNA) molecules are approximately 80 nucleotides in length. Lineage: Bacteria; Candidatus Nomuraibacteriota. The record is from RNAcentral.
GGAGAGAUGGCCGAGCGGCUGAAGGCACUCCCUUGCUAAGGGAGCAGAGGGUAAAACCUCUCGUGAGUUCAAAUCUCACUCUCUCCGCCA